GGAUCAUUACCGAGUUAGGGUUUCCCUUCCAGGAGCCCGAACCUCCCAACCCUUUGUUUAAAUUACCUUGUCGUUGCUUCGGCGGACCGGUUGACCAACUGGUUUUGACCGCCGGGGGGGGGUCUUCACCCCCCUGGAGAGUGUCCGCCGAUGGCCCAACCUCACAACUCUUGUACCAAACCAUGUCGUCUGAAUGUACUUGAUUGAAGAAUCGAAAAACAAAACUUUCAACAACGGAUCUCUUGGUUCUGGCAUCGAUGAAGAACGCAGCGAAAUGCGAUAAGUAAUGCGAAUUGCAGAAUUUCCGUGAGUCAUCGAAUCUUUGAACGCACAUUGCGCCCACUGGUAUUCCGGUGGGCAUGCCUGUUCGAGCGUCAUUAUCCUCCCUCAAACCCCGGGUUUGGUGUUGGACCCAAGUUGUGCAUCUGAACAACUGGUCUCAAAGACAAUGACGGCGUCCGUGGGACCCUCGGUGCAACGAGCUUCUAAGGAGCACGCGUCGAGUUUCAAGGUCCUUCCGGGCCGGUCUCCUUUACAAUUUAUCACAAGGUUGACCUCGGAUCAGGUAGGAAUACCCGCUGAACUUAAGCAUAUCAAUAAGCGGAGGAAAAGAAACCAACAGGGAUUGCCUCAGUAACGGCGAGUGAAGCGGCAACAGCUCAAAUUUGAAAUCUGGCCUUUACGGUCCGAGUUGUAAUUUGUAGAGGAUGUUUUGGGUACCGCCCCGGUUUAAAUUUCUUGGAACAGAAUGUCGCAGAGGGUGAGAAUCCCGUCUUGGACCGUGGUAGGGCCUGUGUAAAACUCCUUCGACGAGUCGACUUGUUUGGGAAUGCAGGUCAAAAUGGGUGGUAAAUUUCAUCUAAAGCUAAAUAUUGGCCAGAGACCGAUAGCGCACAAGUAGAGUGAUCGAAAGAUGAAAAGCACUUUGAAAAGAGAGUUAAACAGUAUGUGAAAUUGUUGAAAGGGAAGCGCUGGCAACCAGACUCGUGCGCGGGGUUCCCCCUUGCUUCUGCUUGGGUCACUUCCCCGUGUCCGGGCCAUCAUCAGUUUCGGGGGCCGGUUAAAGGCCUUGGGAAUGUAUCCACGCCUUCGGGGGUGGACUUAUAGCCCAGGGUGUCAUGCGGCCACCCGGGACUGAGGAACGC
This 1145-nucleotide ribosomal RNA is filed under the name Knufia sp. CF285360. RNAcentral describes it as "eukaryotic LSU rRNA". The stretch from base 552 to 1145 matches the Rfam family "Eukaryotic large subunit ribosomal RNA", at positions 1 to 603 of the family's 3401-position model. The record is from RNAcentral. Lineage: Eukaryota; Fungi; Ascomycota; Eurotiomycetes; Chaetothyriales; Trichomeriaceae.